Molecule: ribosomal RNA, 384 nt
Filed under: Triticum aestivum (bread wheat)
Lineage: Eukaryota; Viridiplantae; Streptophyta; Magnoliopsida; Poales; Poaceae
Description: partial small subunit ribosomal RNA
Source: RNAcentral
CAGCAACAGGGCCCAGGUCCAGAUAAUAUACCGGCAGAAUUUUAUAAACAUUGCUGGGAAUUUGUUAAAAAUGACAUAAUGUGCCUAUUCAAAGCGUUCCAUGAUAACACACUGGAUAUUGAACGCCUGAAUCAUGGGUGAUCACCCUGAUCCCAAAACGAAUGGGGCUAAAAAAUCCAGCAAUAUCGUCCCAUUUGUCUACUUCGUUACCCUUAUAAGCUGAUUACCAAGGUGCUAGAUAACAGGGUAGCUAUAUAUGCUAACUAGCUCAUUAGCAAGCAUCAAAAUGCAUUCAUUAAGCAUAGAAAUAUAGUGGAUGGGAUCCUUACUCUGCAUGAGGCGUUGCACCACACACAACACAAGAAAAAUGUGGGGUGGUUCUGA